UACGUAGGGUGCGAGCGUUGUCCGGAAUUAUUGGGCGUAAAGAGCUCGUAGGCGGUUUGUCGCGUCUGCUGUGAAAACGCGAGGCUCAACCUCGCGCCUGCAGUGGGUACGGGCAGACUAGAGUGCGGUAGGGGAGAUUGGAAUUCCUGGUGUAGCGGUGGAAUGCGCAGAUAUCAGGAGGAACACCGGUGGCGAAGGCGGGUCUCUGGGCAGUAACUGACGCUGAGGAGCGAAAGCGUGGGGAGCGAACAGG
This 253-nucleotide ribosomal RNA is filed under the name uncultured bacterium. Its description in RNAcentral is "partial 16S ribosomal RNA". It matches the Rfam family "Bacterial small subunit ribosomal RNA", at positions 524 to 776 of the family's 1533-position model. The record is from RNAcentral.